This 720-nucleotide ribosomal RNA is filed under the name uncultured Enterobacteriaceae bacterium. RNAcentral describes it as "bacterial SSU rRNA". It matches the Rfam family "Bacterial small subunit ribosomal RNA", at positions 1 to 736 of the family's 1533-position model. The record is from RNAcentral. Lineage: Bacteria; Pseudomonadati; Pseudomonadota; Gammaproteobacteria; Enterobacterales; Enterobacteriaceae.
UCGGCUUAGAGUUUGAUCAUGGCUCAGAUUGAACGCUGGCGGCAGGCCUAACACAUGCAAGUCGAGCGGUAAGGGAGCUUGCUCCUGACGAGCGGCGGACGGGUGAGUAAUGUCUGGGAAACUGCCUGAUGGAGGGGGAUAACUACUGGAAACGGUAGCUAAUACCGCAUAACGUCGCAAGACCAAAGAGGUUCGUCUUGCCAUCAGAUGUGCCCAGAUGGGAUUAGCUAGUAGGUGGGGUAACGGCUCACCUAGGCGACGAUCCCUAGCUGGUCUGAGAGGAUGACCAGCCACACUGGAACUGAGACACGGUCCAGACUCCUACGGGAGGCAGCAGUGGGGAAUAUUGCACAAUGGGCGCAAGCCUGAUGCAGCCAUGCCGCGUGUAUGAAGAAGGCCUUCGGGUUGUAAAGUACUUUCAGCGAGGAGGAAGGCGUCGUAUAAUUGCGACGUUGACGUUACUCGCAGAAGAAGCACCGGCUAACUCCGUGCCAGCAGCCGCGGUAAUACGGAGGGUGCAAGCGUUAAUCGGAAUUACUGGGCGUAAAGCGCACGCAGGCGGUUUGUCAUGUCGGAUGUGAAAUCCCCGGGCUCAACCUGGGAACUGCAUUCGAAACGGGCAAGCUAGAGUCUUGUAGAGGGGGGUAGAAUUCCAGGUGUAGCGGUGAAAUGCGUAGAGAUCUGGAGGAAUACCGGUGGCGAAGGCGGCCCCCUGGACAA